This 497-nucleotide ribosomal RNA is filed under the name uncultured bacterium. RNAcentral describes it as "partial 16S ribosomal RNA". It matches the Rfam family "Bacterial small subunit ribosomal RNA", at positions 28 to 507 of the family's 1533-position model. The record is from RNAcentral.
GAUGAACGCUGGCGGCGUGCCUAAUACAUGCAAGUCGAGCGAACGGACGAGAAGCUUGCUUCUCUGAUGUUAGCGGCGGACGGGUGAGUAACACGUGGAUAACCUACCUAUAAGACUGGGAUAACUUCGGGAAACCGGAGCUAAUACCGGAUAAUAUUAUGAACCGCAUGGUUCAAAAGUGAAAGACGGUCUUGCUGUCACUUAUAGAUGGAUCCGCGCUGCAUUAGCUAGUUGGUAAGGUAACGGCUUACCAAGGCAACGAUGCAUAGCCGACCUGAGAGAGUGAUCGGCCACACUGGAACUGAGACACGGUCCAGACUCCUACGGGAGGCAGCAGUAGGGAAUCUUCCGCAAUGGGCGAAAGCCUGACGGAGCAACGCCGCGUGAGUGAUGAAGGUCUUCGGAUCGUAAAACUCUGUUAUUAGGGAAGAACAUAUGUGUAAGUAACUGUGCACAUCUUGACGGUACCUAAUCAGAAAGCCACGGCUAACUACGUG